UUUUUUUUUUUUUUUUUUUUGUCUUUUGAAGGCUGCAACGGAGGCAUAUGGAGGUUCCCAGGCUAGGGGUCUAAUCAGAGCUGUAGCCACCGGCCUACACCAGAGCCACAGCAAUGCAGGAUCCGAGUCGCGUCUGCAACCUACACCACAGCUCACGGCAACCCUGGAUCUGUUAACCCACUGAGCAAGGGCAGGGACCAAACCCGCAACCUCAUGGUUCCUAGUCGGAUUCGUUAACCACUGCGCCACAACGGGAACUCCUAUUUCUGAACAUUUUAAAUUGCAACCUUUAACAUCUCUGGUCAUACCCUAUUGUGCCAAGUCCAAGACUAUAUCCACUGGAGAAAUUUUCCAGAUUGGAAUUACUGAGCAUAGGGGUAUAAAUAUUUUUAUAGCUUUUUAAAAUUAUUAUUAUUUUUUUUUUAAGGGUCGCACCUGUGGCAUACAGAGCUUCCCUGGCUAGGGGUCGAAUCAGAGCUACAGCUGCCGGCCUACACCACAGCCACAGCAACACCAGAUCUGAGCCUCGUCUGCGAACUACACCACAGCUCAUGGCAACACCGGAUCCUUAACCCACUGAGCGAGGACAGGGAUAGAACCCGCAACCUCAGAUCUCCUAUUUGAAUUCGUUUCCACUGAGCCACAACAGGAACUCCUAUUUUUAUAGCUUUUAAUACUUAGUAUCAUGCUUUCCAGGCCACCGGCAAGUACCAGUUCUAUACCACUUUCAACCACAAUAGGUAUAACCUUUUAUUUUUUCCCCUGCUGGGUUAUAGGUGGGAAAUACUUUUUCAGUGUUCAUAUGACUUUGUAUUUAGAAAUUUGCCACCUUUUUAAGGCUUUAUGUUUUGAGAAAAAUUUAAAGUUCACCGCAAAAUGGAAAAGGAGGUACAGGGAUUUCCCAUUAUUCCCUGCCCCCACCCAUGUAUGGCCUCUCCCCUUAUCAACAUGCCCCACCAAAGUCCGACAUUUAUUACAACUAAUGGACAUAUGUCAACACAUCGUUAUCAUCCAAAAUCCAUAGUUUACAAUAGGGUUCCAUCUUCAAAUUGUACAUUCUAUAGGUUUGGACAAAUGGAUAAUGGCAUGUAUCUACCACUAUAAUGCAGAAUAGGUUCACUGCCCUAAAAAUCCUCCUAACUCUUCCCCAGCCUCAACAACCAUUGGUCUAUUUGUUUGGGGGUUUUUUGUUUUGUUUUGUUUUGUUUCGUUUUUUGCUUUUUAGGGCCAAACCUGCUGCAUGUGGAUGGAAGUUCCCAGGAUAGGGGUCCAAUCAGAGCUACAGCUGCGGGCCUACACAGCAGCCACAGCAAUACAGGAUCCGAGCUGCAUCUGAGACCUAUACCACAGCUCACACCAAUGCCGGAUCCUCAACCUACUGAGUGAGGCCAGGAAUCGAACCCAAAUCCUCAUGGAUCCUAGUCAGGUUCUUUACCACUGAGUCACGACGGGAACUCCACCAUUGGUCUUUUUACUGUCUCUACAUUCUGCCUUUUCCAGAGUGACAUAUAGUUGUAACCUUCUCAUACUGGCUUCUUUACUAAGUAAUAUGCAUUUAAGUUUCCUCCAUAUCUUUCCAUGGCUUGAUAGUGCAUUUCUUUUUAGCUCUCGAUACUAUUCCAUUGUCUAGAUGUACAUGCCUCAUUUAUCCAUUCACUUACUGCAGGACAUUUUGGUUGCUUCCAAUUUGGCUAUUAUGAAUCAAGGUGCUGUAAACAUUCCUGUACAGUCUUUCAUGUGGACUUGAGUUUUCACUUUUGGUGGGUAAAUACAAGAAGAAUUUAUAAGGAGAUUGCUGGAUCAUAUGCUAAGAGUAGGUUUCAUUUUGGAAGAAACUGGCAAACUGUUUCCUGAAGUGGCUAUACCAUUUUG
This 1872-nucleotide long non-coding RNA is filed under the name Sus scrofa (pig). RNAcentral describes it as "lncRNA (ENSSSCG00015031156.1)". The record is from RNAcentral. Lineage: Eukaryota; Metazoa; Chordata; Mammalia; Artiodactyla; Suidae.